CCAUAAUACCAUCUACCCUUGGAAGAGUAGGUUGUUGCCGUAUAUUUUCUAUAAAUGCCAUAAAAGCAAAGCUAGGUUUCAGAGCCAAGUUAAAGUCUUGCCUAUUUAGUAAAGAAAUGGGCUCAACAAGACUGGGAUCCAAGAAACUCCAUGCAGUUUUUGUCCCUUACCCUGCACAAGGCCAUGUUAGUCCCAUGAUGCGAUUAGCCAAGCUUCUACACUCAAGGGACUUCCACAUUACCUUUGUCAAUACUGAGUUCAACCACAUGCGCUUAGUCCGGUCUAAAGGACCGGACUCCAUCAAGGGCCUACCCGACUUCCGGUUUGAGACCAUACCGGACGGGCUGCCUCCUUCGGACAAAGAUGCAACCCAAGAUAUUCCAGCUUUAUGUGACUCCACUAGGAAAACCUGCCUAGGUCCCUUUAAGGAGCUGGUAAUUAAACUUAAUAACUCAUCUUCUGAAACUCCACCAGUUACUUGCGUUGUUACAGAUGGUCUCAUGGGCUUUGGGAGCAAAGCUGCUAGGGAGUUAGGCAUUCCAGAGGUUCAAUUUUGGACAGCCUCUGCUUGUGGCUUCAUGGCGUACUUGCAGUAUGGUGAACUUGUCAAACGAGGGAUUGUUCCAUUCAAAGGUACGUACUUAUGUCACUCACGUGUUUCUUCCAUCAAAAUUUUUGAUGGAGCUUAAGCUAUAUAUUCCCUAUGAACUGGAACAAUUGAUAAAUUAUAUGAAUUAAAUCGCAAAAAUUGAAUAAAUUAUAUGAGAUAAAUUGUGAAAAUUGAAACUAUAUAACUUACUAAAGGAAACAAAAUCAAAUUUGUGCUUCUUUUUUUGUUCCGAACCUCACCAACAGUAUAUCUAAUCACACAUUUCACUUAACCUUGCAUGUCAGAUGAAAAUUUUAUGCACGACGGUACGCUGGAUACACCAAUUGAUUGGAUCCCAGGCAUGAAGAAUGUUCGUCUCAAGGACAUCCCUACCUUCAUUAGAGUGACUGAUGUCAAAGACAUGAUGUUUGAUUUCAUGAGAUCCGAAACACAAAACUGUCUGAACUCUUCUGCAAUCAUCUUCAACACAUUUGAAGAAUUUGAACAUGAAGUGUUAGAGGUAUUAUCAACCAUCUCCCCUAAAAUUUACACCAUAGGCCCCCUUAAGUUGCUUGGCCGCCAUUUUCCUGAAAGCAAAUUGACAAAUUCACUUGCCUCAAGUUUAUGGAAAGAAGACACAAAAUGCCUAGAAUGGCUUGACAAAAAGAAACCCAAUUCAGUGGUGUAUGUUAAUUAUGGCAGCAUAACUAUGAUGACAGCCGAACAUCUGAAAGAAUUUGCAUGGGGGCUUGCAAAUAGCAGGCACCCAUUUUUGUGGAUUGUUAGGCCUGAUGUGGUGAAGGGUGACUUCGUAAUUUUAUCCGAUGAAUUUUUUGAGGUGAUCAAGGAUAGGGGUUAUAUAACCAAUUGGUGUCCACAGGACCAAGUGCUCGCUCAUCCAUCUGUUGGGGCUUUUUUAACACACGCUGGCUGGAAUUCUAUCAUCGAAACUGUAUCUGAAGGUGUGCCAGUGAUUUGCUGGCCUUUCUUUUCUGAGCAGCAAACGAAUUGUCGAUACGCAUGCACUGAUUGGGAGAUUGGAAUGGAGGUGAGCCCCGAUGUGAAGCGCGAUGAAAUUGAAGCACUUGUUAAGGAAAUGCUGGACGGGGAAAAGGGGAUGAAGAUGAGGGAAAAGGCUAAGCAGUGGAAGAAAAAAGCUGUAGAAGCGACUGAUGUUGGAGGAUCAUCGUACAAUAAUUUUGACAGAUUGAUUAAGGAUCUUCAAUAUGGAUGGUGAAUGACUUGUAAAAUGAGGGUUUAUCUUAUUUUCAUGCAGGAUCACUAUUGUUUUGUUUUCAUGUCUAUCUUUGGUUUGGAUUUCAGUUGUUUCUUUAGUUUUUUAUUUUCAUGUAAUGGGAUAGCAGGGUUUGAAAUUUAUAAUCUCUUCCAUCGUUAAGAAGAAAAAUAAUCUAAGAUGUUAAUGGAUUGUUUCUCUAGUUGUUGUAUCCCUUAUAAUUAAACA
RNAcentral lists this long non-coding RNA (2051 nucleotides) under Prunus dulcis (almond). Its description in RNAcentral is "sRNA ncRNA". Lineage: Eukaryota; Viridiplantae; Streptophyta; Magnoliopsida; Rosales; Rosaceae. The record is from RNAcentral.